RNAcentral lists this non-coding RNA (27 nucleotides) under Cricetulus griseus (Chinese hamster). Lineage: Eukaryota; Metazoa; Chordata; Mammalia; Rodentia; Cricetidae. The record is from RNAcentral.
UGAAGGAGGAAAGGAUAAGAGGAAGAA